RNAcentral lists this ribosomal RNA (2649 nucleotides) under Triticum aestivum (bread wheat). RNAcentral describes it as "partial small subunit ribosomal RNA". Lineage: Eukaryota; Viridiplantae; Streptophyta; Magnoliopsida; Poales; Poaceae. The record is from RNAcentral.
AUGCCAGCUGAUCACGGAUCACCUUAUUGCCCCGCUUCACUCCACUCCACUCCAUUUCCCUUCGGUCAAGUCCUCGUUUCUGCCUGCCAAGCAUCUUCUAGGACUUGCGCUUCAUCUGUGGUGACGCCCAGGCAUCAUCUUCUUGCACUCUUCGUCGCCAACCUUGGUCCAGCUGUUCGGAUGGCUGGGAGAGAAGCUGACUUCCGCUGGAUGGAAGUACAGUAUAUCAACUUCUAUUCCCUGUUCAUGGCGUACUUGUUGAUGGCCGUUAGGGGGCUGGGCUACCUCGUGCUUGCGUGGACCACCGUCGUUCUCUUAGGUGGCUUCGUCAGCAAGCUGGAAAAGAAGGACUUUUGGUCUCUCACAGCCAUUACCCUCGUCCUAACUCCUCGGGUCUCUGCUGAUGUCGAUCUGAAGGGGAAGUUAAAAUAUAUCGUGGAAUCGGUGGUUGGACUCUACCGUGCUAUAUUUGCCACACUGAACCCAAACGGUAUCAAUGACCCCUGGCUAAGCCGACUGCUAGCAGGUGUUGUGUUGUUAUGUCACCUGCUGCUCGCCCCGAUUGUGGUAUGCCCUCUAGCGGCUCUCUACGUGUGUGGGCCACUGCUGAGCGCCGGGAUUUCGGUGUGGCGUCUAAUAGAACGUGAUUACGGAGUUGAGAAGAAGCAAGAAGCUGACAACUUGCAGCCGGCUCUGAUCGUCUUGUACUCACUGGCCACGUUGCAGGGACUGCUCUUUUGUUACAGGUUCUACUCGUCUUUUGCCCGAGAGGACCUAGUGAAGGAUGUGGCAGAAGCGUACAAGAUGAACGAUGUCAAUUUGGUGGAUGAAUACUUGAGGGAUACCAUGGCUGAGUGCGAGAAGGACCCAGCAUUCUUCAAGGAAAGAAACCUCGCUACAUACGCUGUGGGAAUGAUCGAGUCCAAAUCAUCUGAAAGCUCCCUUUCGGGGGCAAGGAUUCUGGACAGGCUCUUGGAACACGUGCUCGAUGCAGAGGUCAAAGCAAAGGAGGAGCUCUUAAAGCACGCUCUGGCAACAGAGGAGCAUGCGCUAGGAGUCACACCAGAGAAGCAGAAAGCGCUCACAGUCACAGCAGCGGACGCCGAGGAGCUCACAGCGCAGCUCAUCAGUUUGGCGUCCUCUAGCCAUGUACUCAAGAAACUUCUGCAGGCGCUGGAUUCCACAAGCCCGCACGGCGAGACCGUGAGGGGGGUUGCCGCCAACAUAGUGGCCCACCUUGCCGGCAGGACACCUCUGAUGCAAUUUCCACGAGUGAUCCAGCGCAUAGGCUCGCUGCUCGACAUCCCUCGGCAGCAAUUUCAAGAAGACUACAGGAAACUCAUGGAGAAAGGCUUCGUUAUCCUUCUCAAGCUCGCUGCCGACGAGGACAAUUGCAGAGCCAUAAGCAACGCCCAGGGCGUGCUCUCCAGGAUCAUGGCGCCAGUGUGCUCCGACUUGCUCCACCUUCUCGACCACGACGCAUGGUGGUCCACCAUUGUAGCCGCUUCAUUGAAGGUCAUGUGCCGGCUCGUGGCUGGUCCGGGAGAGACUGGUGCCCAGCUGCGUAAGCAAAUAUCAAGGAACAAGGAAGCCAUCCACGGCAUGGAAGGGAUCCUCAAUUGUUGCCAAUGUGGUGAACAGCAGCUUCACAUAUUAAGCAUUGAGAUCCUGACGAAGCUACACAUGGACGAGGACUCUCUGAGCGGCGGUGUGAACAAGCAAAGCAGAGGAAAUUAUAUCGUCAUGCUUGCUUCCAUCUUCACUGACGCUAGCAAAGCCUGCUCCAUCAGAGAGUUGGCAGGUGAAGCCCUGGUGAAGCUAAGUCAAAGUGAAAAUGAUGCUGCUAUCAUCCUGAAGGCAAAUGAUUAUGUUGUCCAUGACCUCAGUAAUAUCCUCCUUUUACAUGCUGUGGACAACAACACAAAACGAAUUAUUGCAGCUAAAAUCCUGAAGCAUCUCUACAUUCAUUACAAAGAGAAUGAUGAGUAUCUCAACAUACUUACAAAAACCUUGGAGGAUGUAGUGCCAAAGGUUCUUCGAGAGAUACUACCUGUUUUGGGGUUGGAAGGGAAGGAGACACCAUUGGCAGAAAACGGAACAGAUAACAACAGUUAUCUUUUCCUAGGCACCCCUGACAUAGAAGCCCAACAAGUUGGUGCUGCGCAUGAUGACAACAGUAACAACAAAACAUUCCCUCGUCCGCAAAACGAUUCAAGGAAAGUGCAGGCAGCUUUAUUAUCUCUUGUUGCGGCGAUAUUUGACAAAUUGAUCAUCCAAGAUCGUAAUUUGGCUCAACUGAUUGAUAAAAUUUCUCCUGGAGAUUCUGCCUCUAGCUUUGGCAAUAAGCUCAAGGAGAUGGUGAUGGCACCGACAAAUAGCGAACCCAUGGAAAGUUGCCUGAGCAUAAUGAAGAACGCCAGCAAGAUGGUUAUAUCAAUGAUGAAACACAAUGACAGCUGCCUCAACGGAGAUUUCUUGAAGAUCUUUAUACAAUAUAUGUCCAAAGUUUGCAAGACCACGUUGUGUCUCGAGGGCUCUAUGAUUUUAGACAAAGCCAAUCAUGGCACAGUGAAGCCUUAUAGUACUCUCACUUCUCUGGUGAAAGAAGCACAGGAACUUCUCGUCACGAAGGAGCCAAAAGAGCGGUGA